Molecule: ribosomal RNA, 253 nt
Filed under: uncultured bacterium
Lineage: Bacteria
Description: partial 16S ribosomal RNA
Rfam family: Bacterial small subunit ribosomal RNA
Source: RNAcentral
UACGUAGGGGGCAAGCGUUGUCCGGAAUCAUUGGGCGUAAAGCGCGUGUAGGCGGUUCGGUAAGUCUGCUGUGAAAGUCCAGGGCUCAACCCUGGGAUGCCGGUGGAUACUGUCGGGCUAGAGUACGGAAGAGGCGAGUGGAAUUCCCGGUGUAGCGGUGAAAUGCGCAGAUAUCGGGAGGAACAACAAUUGCGAAGGCAGCUCGCUGGGACGUUACUGACGCUGAGACGCGAAAGCGUGGGAAGCAAACAGG